Molecule: non-coding RNA, 555 nt
Organism: Cyanistes caeruleus (blue tit)
Lineage: Eukaryota; Metazoa; Chordata; Aves; Passeriformes; Paridae
Source: RefSeq, a predicted model, not a curated record
ACGGGGAAAGCUGGGGCAGGGCAGGGGCAGCGGGAGAUGGGGCAGCUUGGAGGAUGGAUUGUGCUGCACUGGGGGGUGUCCCCACAGGCUCCCCAGCUGCCUUUGGCUCCCUGCCUGCCCCCCUUGGCAGCCGCGGGGGCCUGGGCCCUUGCAGGGGCAGCUGCCCCGUGCAGGGAGCCGCAGGGAUGCGGGGAGGGGGGCUGGAUCCGUGCCGCAGCUGGGAUGGACUCUGUGCCAGGCCUGGGCUUGUGGCCAGGGCUGGGGGCUGUGCCAAGCCGGCCUUUGGCCUGGGGGCUCUUGGCGAGGGCGCAGGGAGGAGUCCCGGCAGGAUAAAGGUGCUCCUCACCUGGGGCAGCCUCAGCCAGCGCUCCCCACUCACUGGCACAGGAGGAAGAGGAAGAUGAAGGUGGCUGUGCUCGCCGUGGCCCUGCUCUUCUCCAUCCUGCUGUGCCUGCCAGCACAGAGCGAGGCCAUGGAUGGCAGCGGUGAUGAAACCAUUUGUGCCGGGAGAGUUGGUGGCAUUGGCAGCAGCCAGGUGGGUACCCCGAGUUCUUC